This is a non-coding RNA of Oryctolagus cuniculus (rabbit), 443 nucleotides long. Lineage: Eukaryota; Metazoa; Chordata; Mammalia; Lagomorpha; Leporidae. The record is from RefSeq and is a predicted model, not a curated record.
UGAAGUAUGUUUCAGUGUCCAGUGGCUGUAUCAGUACAUCUAUGGAGUCUCUGGGGGCCAACUUGAUAAGGAAGUUUCCCUGCUACAUUCUGUGGCCAAGGAUGAGUAGGCAAGAUUAAGAAUCUGCUUCUCAAGAUCUCAGUGAGAAGAGCAUUUUAGAAUGGGCUGCUCGACCUCUUAGUGGGGCCACAGGAGGGUGAAUGGGGAUGCCCAGCUGCUUCCUUGGUGGACCUCAAUGGGAUGGCUACUCAGGGAAGGCUGGCUGCUUCUUGGAGUCACAGGCAAUGCAGCAGUGUGAUGACUUGGCAAAUACCCAAACUGGGAUCAGUUCUCAAGGACUACAGAGCUCUCCAACUGCAAAUUCUUCAUGCACCUAUGGCAUGACUGGGAAUCGCCAGGGAUCUCCUUUGUAUCAUUUUAAAUACAGACUUCCUGUAUCAUAA